Molecule: small RNA, 73 nt
Filed under: Cricetulus griseus (Chinese hamster)
Lineage: Eukaryota; Metazoa; Chordata; Mammalia; Rodentia; Cricetidae
Source: RNAcentral
AAGUACUAACCAGGCCCAACCCUGCUUAGCUUCUGAGAUCAGAGGAGAUUGAGCAUGUUCAGGGUGGUGUGGC